Molecule: long non-coding RNA, 711 nt
Filed under: Capsella rubella
Lineage: Eukaryota; Viridiplantae; Streptophyta; Magnoliopsida; Brassicales; Brassicaceae
Description: long non-coding RNA (CRUB_LNC001437)
Source: RNAcentral
AGGGAGGAGUCGGUGUGAGGUGCUAAGCCCAUGGCUAGAUGAGGGUCAGGGCAAACCGGGUAAGAGUUCAACUGUAGAAAGGAUUGGAUCGAGUUGGUUUCAGAACCAGUUUUGUCUGGUACAAGCCAUCCCAAAUCUUCAUGUGUUAUCCCUAACGAGCCCAUCAACAUAGUUAUAAGUCUAAGACUUAGAUCAUCCAUUGCCUUCUGGUACUCUUCCAUCACAUUGCUACAUUUGCCAAACAAAGAAUAAACAAUUUGUUCAGAAAUUUUGAUAUAAUUUUUUUUGUAUAUAUCUAUUUUCCAUGUAGAACACAUUAAAUAGUCCAAUGAAGUUCAAGUGUUACAAAAAAAAAAGAGAGAGAAUUACUUAUCACGUUGUACAUAUUAACUUAUAUUCAUAUUAUAUAGAAUACAGUUAGAUUUGGGUAAGACAUCGUUCAAAUUAAAUCAUAAAUAUAUAGUUUUUGUCUUCAUUUACACAUUUUCACAUAUUCUCUAGGUCAUGCGCAUUUUUUGAUUAGGAAAAUAUGAUAAAUAUUAUGAUUACUACUCACCAGAAGUCAGCAUGAUCAUCGGGCCAUAAGAGUGUAGCGUGACGCCGAAGAGAGGAACCCAAUACGGAGAACCCCUCAGACCACAUGAGCUUAUCAUAGAACAUGGAGAUCCGAACAACACCGUAACCAGUGGACUCGUCGGGAGAUCGGACGGC